Long non-coding RNA from Macaca mulatta (Rhesus monkey), 1972 nucleotides. The record is from Ensembl. NCBI's taxonomy places the organism in Eukaryota, Metazoa, Chordata, Mammalia, Primates, Cercopithecidae.
AUGUACCCCCAUUCUAAAAGUCCUUUUUAUAAAUUCUUCUUGAAGAUUUUGGGGCCCUCAUGCAGAGUUCUUUGUGCCUUAUUCUCCAGAAACAGAACUUCAGCAUCUAGAGAUUUCAAGGAAAUGGGAGCUGCUGAAACCACAGGAUCUGCUCGCGGGUUCCAAACACUCUGCACGGACAAUAUGACCACGUCCGUGUCCUCCUCCGACUCCUGUGAGGCCCUUUUCAUGGAGCCCAGGCCCUUCCCUGUUUCUCCCAGAGGAGGAAGUCCAAGGCAGGGUCUGCAUCUCCCUUGUCUUUGCAAAAACCCCACAACAGCUCUCCUGGAUGGUGUCUAAAGUAACACUUCUUGGUUGUUUAGUCUGGUUAUACGUGUUGCAAAUUCCCUAAUUCCUGUGGGGCUCACAGAGAGCUACAAACUUAUAAUAAAACUGCAAUGGAAAUUUCUGACUCUAUUUUUCGACUAUUACCAAAUCUUCUAAGGUUCUAAGACCCUUUGCUCUAAAGACAGAUAGAGAACCACUCUAAUACAAAACAGCGUUGGUUCUUCUCUCUCAAAGGGAAUUGGGACUGUUCGGAAAGUCCUGGAAAUUUGCUAUAUACUUUAAAAAUCUAAAAUGCCUUCCCAACUGGCACACUCAGGAUAUGAGGAAGCAAUGUCAUUGCAAAUCACUCCUGACCUACAUUUAAACUGAGUUACUUUGUUUAGGUUGAGUUUUCUCUUCGUGCCCACAGCAUCCUCAGAACCCUUGUCAUCAAGGCUUAGGUAGAAACCUCUGCUCUUCAAAUCGUGCCUUCCUUUCGGAUCUAGUUAAUUCUAGUCAGGAUUCUAGGAAGGCCUCCUUCUGAAGACAAUGCAAAAAUAAAAAGAGCGACAGACCUUCCUUUUGUUGACAGCUUUCCAUCAUUUUCAAAAUCAACUGUGAUUCAAACUUAAAAAAAAACCCAAGUUAGUGCCUGAUGACUCCCUAGACUCUGGGGCAUCAGGUAGUGCCAAAUUGAGAUUCCUCUGACAAUUUCUGAGGACAAAGAUCUUCAAGGAGGGCAGCUCUAGGGAGAGUUGAGUCAGAUCUGAAGUUGUGUCUCACAGACGCAGCAUCCACUGACUCCUGACUUUCAGUUUGUAUUUUAGACUCUUCCCAGGGGAUGGAGACAAGGAGCAUCCACUGACCCCUGACUUCAGUUCAUAUUUUAGAACUGUUCCCAGGGGAUGCAGACAAGGCAGUGAUCAAUCAGGAAACAGCCAAACACGUGCAGAUGGUUGAGAACAGCUCUCCUUGAAUCCCAGUCAUGGGAGGUGAGGAAUGAUCAUUCUUCUACAUAGUUCUAUUAAAAAAAGUGAAAUAAAAUUUGUUCUAUUUUGUUAGAGUUGCAGAAAUAAGAUGACAAACACAUCCUCAAUUGGGUUAAAAACCACACAGCUCUGUCAGCAAUGUUAACAUCAUUUACAUCAAGUUCCUUGGCUAAAUGAGCAAUUUCCAUAUGUCUAGUUUACAUGAGCUCAAUUGUAAGUGUGGUAGAAUUGGCAUCAAAUAAAUGGCGUGUGUUCAGAUCUGGUUUUGAUUACCAAGAUUUCUAGAGUAUGUUUUUGUGUUUAACUCUUUUUUGUAACUUUGCCAGUGAAUGUUUGUCUAACUUCUGCCUCAUGAGCCCUCAUUUUCAACUCCCUGACAUAUGUCUAUGCUUGCAAUUUGUAUCUUGUAGUCCUUGCCGGAGCCCCGCUGCUCAGGAACACAUGCCCUGAGGCAGCAUGCCUGCACAACUAGCUUCCAUCUGAAUGCUUCAGACAUGUGCUGCAUUCAGGCAAGACCCCUUUGGAUCUUCCCAAUUAGAGCAAAGUCGCUAGUAUUUAACUUCUAAUUUUACAAGUAACAGGGAUUUGCAAUUAGUAACAGACAUCAAGACGACUUGUGACUAGCAUUAUACAUGCCUAUUAAUUUCCACCCAUCUAUAAUUAAUUUUACAAUGGCU